RNAcentral lists this long non-coding RNA (724 nucleotides) under Pongo abelii (Sumatran orangutan). Its description in RNAcentral is "lincRNA". The record is from RNAcentral. Lineage: Eukaryota; Metazoa; Chordata; Mammalia; Primates; Hominidae.
AACAUGUGAGGUCCUUGAGGGUAAUCUCUCUCUCCCUGGUAGCCCUAGUACCUCCUUCAGGCAGAUAUCCACAAAAGCACCUUGCACAGAAACAUCCUUGAGCUAUUUUAAGAGGCAGCAUUAUUUUACUGACAAAUGUUCAGAAUUGAGCUCUCUGACUUGCCCCCAGCCCAACCUCUAUGGAUUGACCCUUCUCCUCAGAGAGACUGUGUAUGCCUGUGCAGGCACACAUGUUGAGGGGAAGACAGGAAGACCUGCCCUCCCCCAGGCCCUGGCUUCUCUUCAGACAGUGCCAUUCACACUGAGCCUCACAAGGCAAGUACUGCCUGGUAUAACUUGGGGAGUGAUGGGGCCUGUUGACCAGAAUCACUCCUCCAAAAGCUUCACGCACAAGCCUGAGUUUCCAGUCAUCACCAGCAGCACCUUCAGUCUUUGACAGCCUUCUUAAUGAACACGCACAUUUUGCCUGGAUCAGGACACUGUGUUAUCUGGCAAAGGUUGCCCAUUUAAAAUGAGUGACUGGAAAGGUUCGACCCUCUACUGCCCCCCUAUUGUCACCCCUUUGGGAUUAGAAUCCUGAAAGAAUGAUGAGAAGAAAGGCUACAUAUGGAGAGACCUGAGAAACCCUGAAUCUUGCUUGAGAGGAGGAAAUCAGACACCUGCAUAGUCCAGCAGGCUGAUCCCAGUCACCAGGGAGCAGAGAGCAGAGGAGAGUUCCAGGGAC